AAAUGAAUUGACGGGGGCCCGCACAAGCGGUGGAGCAUGUGGUUUAAUUCGAUGCAACGCGAAGAACCUUACCUAGGCUUGACAUAAAUUGGAAGAGUGGCAGAAAUGUCCUCGCUCGCAAGAGUCGGUUUACAGGUGCUGCAUGGCUGUCGUCAGCUCGUGUCGUGAGAUGUUGGGUUAAGUCCCGCAACGAGCGCAACCCUUACCUUUAGUUGCCAGCAUUUAGUUGGGCACUCUAAAGGGACUGCCUGCGUUAAGCAGGAGGAAGGUGGGGAUGACGUCAAGUCCUCAUGGCCCUUAUGUCUAGGGCUACACACGUGCUACAAUGGUGGUCACAGAGGGAUGCCAAACCGCAAGGUGGAGCAAAUCCCUUAAAAGCCAUCUAAGUUCAGAUUGGUCUCUGCAACUCGAGACCAUGAAGUUGGAAUCGCUAGUAAUCGCGGAUCAGAAUGCCGCGGUGAAUACGUUCCCGGGCCUUGUACACACCGCCCGU
Molecule: ribosomal RNA, 493 nt
Filed under: uncultured bacterium
Lineage: Bacteria
Description: bacterial SSU rRNA
Rfam family: Bacterial small subunit ribosomal RNA
Source: RNAcentral